GUGUGAAAGGAUGGGACCACCACUGUCCUGUCAUCGGCAGUUGCAUUGGACAAAACAACAUUUAGUAGUUCUACUUCUACCUCGCUGUCGGAAUUCUGACCUUAGUCUAUAUCUGGGGGGUCAUUUUGGUAACG
This 134-nucleotide small nuclear RNA is filed under the name Mesodinium pulex. RNAcentral's name for it is "partial Dictyostelium signal recognition particle". Lineage: Eukaryota; Ciliophora; Litostomatea; Cyclotrichida; Mesodiniidae. The record is from RNAcentral.